RNAcentral lists this long non-coding RNA (4515 nucleotides) under Oncorhynchus mykiss (rainbow trout). RNAcentral's name for it is "lncRNA (ENSOMYG00000062152.1)". The record is from RNAcentral. Lineage: Eukaryota; Metazoa; Chordata; Actinopteri; Salmoniformes; Salmonidae.
AAUGACUGGUUUCACGUGUCCAUCCAUGUCUGAAUCAGCUGUUACUGUCCUUGUUGCAGUUUCUGUCCAUGGUGGUCUGAUAUCUCAAAGCUGAUCAAGUUCCUGGUGGGUCUCCUGUCUCAAGCAGUAGAGUGGGAGGAGCAGUCAGGAGAGAAGACACUGAAGCUGGUAUCAUCAGUGUGUACUUACAGAACCUUCCCUUUCUGUGACGGGGAUGAUGAGGAUGAGUGGUUUCAAUGUGAUCUCCUGCUGGAUCUGUACUCACAUGUGGAGGACUAUGAGACUAAAACAGGCAGGAGUGUCCUUCCAUCAUUGAGACCACUUUAUCAGUCAGCUCCUGCAGUCUGGUCCAUAGACCUCUCAGAGAGAAAGGCCUCCCUCCUCCUAGAAGUGCUGAAACUCCAACCAGAGAAGAAACCAGUACAGCUGAAAGGCUGGUCAGAUGAAGAGAGUGAAGUGAGGAGUUUCCUUCAGUGUCUGCCUUACAUCUCACAGCUGAGUUUUACUCCACCACAGUAUCAGAGAAGAUCCCCUGAAGAGUGGAGAAAGAGAGAGAAGACAUUCCUACUGAAUCUGUGUCUUCAAGCAGCCCUCCAUGAGAGAGAAACCAUACAAACAACUGUAGGGAAAGUGUUGUCACUGUCUGAAGUUUAUCAGGGUCGGAAAUGGGAUCUCCUGCUGGAUCUGUACUCUCACGUGAAGGACUAUGAGACUAAAACAGGCAGGAGUGUCCUUCCAGCAUUACAGCCAGUUUACCAGUCAGCUCCUGCAGUCUGGUCCAUAGACCUCUCAGAGAGAAAGGCUUCCCUCCUCCUUGAAGUGCUGAAACUCCAACCAGAGAAGAAAUCAGUAGAGCUGUGGGACUGGUCAGAUGAAGAGAGUGAAGUGAGGAGUUUCCUUCAGUGUCUGCCCUACAUCUCACAGCUGAGUUUCUGUCCAUGGUGGUCUGAUAUCUCAAAGCUGAUCAAGUUCCUGGUGGGUCUCCUGUCUCAAGCAGUAGAGUGGGAGGAGCAGUCAGGAGAGAAGACACUGAAGCUGGUAUCAUCAGUGUGUACUUACAGAACCUUCCCUUUCUGUGACGGGGAUGAUGAGGAUGAGUGGUUUCAAUGUGAUCUCCUGCUGGAUCUGUACUCACAUGUGGAGGACUAUGAGACUAAAACAGGCAGGAGUGUCCUUCCAUCAUUGAGACCACUUUAUCAGUCAGCUCCUGCAGUCUGGUCCAUAGACCUCUCAGAGAGAAAGGCCUCCCUCCUCCUAGAAGUGCUGAAACUCCAACCAGAGAAGAAACCAGUACAGCUGAAAGGCUGGUCAGAUGAAGAGAGUGAAGUGAGGAGUUUCCUUCAGUGUCUGCCUUACAUCUCACAGCUGAGUUUUACUCCACCACAGUAUCAGAGAAGAUCCCCUGAAGAGUGGAGAAAGAGAGAGAAGACAUUCCUACUGAAUCUGUGUCUUCAAGCAGCCCUCCAUGAGAGAGAAACCAUACAAACAACUGUAGGGAAAGUGUUGUCACUGUCUGAAGUUUAUCAGGGUCGGAAAUGGGAUCUCCUGCUGGAUCUGUACUCUCACGUGAAGGACUAUGAGACUAAAACAGGCAGGAGUGUCCUUCCAGCAUUACAGCCACUUUACCAGCCAGCUCCUGCAGUCUGGUUCAUAGAUCUCAGAAAGAGAAACGUCUCCCUCCUCCUAGAAGUGCUGAAACUCCAACCAGAGAAGAAAUCAGUAGAGCUGUGGGACUGGUCAGAUGAAGAGAGUGAAGUGAGGAGUUUCCUUCAGUGUCUGCCCUACAUCUCACAGCUGAGUUUCUGUCCAUGGUGGUCUGAUCCCUCAAAGCUGAUCAAGUUCCUGGUGGGUCUCCUGUCUCAAGCAGCAGAGUGGGAGGAGCAGUCAGGAGAGAAGACACUGAAGCUGGUGUCAUCAGUGUGUACUUACAGAACCUUCCCUUUCUGUGACGAGGUUUAUUUUGAUGAGUCGUUUCAAUGGGAUCUCCUGCUGGAUCUGUAUUCACAUGUGAAGGACUAUGAGACUCAAACAGGCAGGAGUGUCCUUCCAGCAUUACAGCCAGUUUACCAGCCAGCUCCUGCAGUCUGGUUCAUAGAUCUCUCAGAGAGAAAGGUCUCCCUCCUCCUAGAAGUGCUGAAACUCCAACCAGAGAAGAAAUCAGUAGAGCUGAAAGGCUGGUCAGAUGAAGAGAGUGAAGUGAGGAGUUUCCUUCAGUGUCUGCCCUACAUCUCACAGCUGAGUUUCUGUCCAUGGUGGUCUGAUAUCUCAAAGCUGAUCAAGUUCCUGGUGGGUCUCCUGUCUCAAGCAGCAGAGUGGGAGGAGCAGUCAGGAGAGAAGACACUGAAGCUGGUGUCAUCAGUGUGUAUUUACAGAACCUUCCCUUUCUGUGACGGGGAUGAUUUUGAUGAGUCGUUUCAAUGUGAUUUCCUGCUGGAUCUGUAUUCACAUGUGAAGGACUAUGAGACUCAAACAGGCAGGAGUGUCCUUCCAACAUUACAGACAGUUUACCAGUCAGCUCCUGCAGUCUGGUCCAUAGACCUCUCAGAGAGAAAGGCCUCCCUCCUCCUAGAAGUGCUGAAACUCCAACCAGAGAAGAAACCAGUAGAGCUGAAAGGCUGGUCAGAUGAAGAGAGUGAAGUGAGGAGUUUCCUUCAGUGUCUGCCCUACAUCUCACAGCUGAGCUGUGAUUCUGACAGGUUCUUCCAGCGUGUGUGUGAAUCCAUCCCUGUGAGGUCCAGAGAGGAUGCCCAGCAGUUGGCCUCUCUCCUCCAGGCCUUGGGCUCCACCCUGUCACUGGGAGGACAGUUACCCAGGAAAACCUGCAGGUCUGUGGUGAGAGUGCUUGGCCUCUGUGCCUCCAGAGUGGACCUCACUCUCACCCCCAGCAAGAUCUCUCUGAAAGGAGCCUCACUUCUCUUCACACAUGUAUCACAGCUACACAAGCUCAGGCUGAAUGUGGGCAUGGCAGUGAGACUGGCCAGACUGGCUAGGAGGACAGGGAGAGGGGGUUCUCCACUGACUGUCCCAGAGCUCUCCCUGGUCCUAAAGAGCAGCCAGCCACCAGAGAAAGUGUUAUCCAGGGCUCUGAGUAGUGUGGCGUCCCUGCUGAGACUCUGGACGGUGCAGUGUCUGGACCUGACUGACUUCUGCAUCCAGGGUCACUCUCUCAUCACACUACUUUGUCACCAAGGCCCUCUCACUCUCAGACUGCACUCAGACACCCUGCAGCAGCUGGCUGUAGUUGUGUAUGAAGCUCAGGACAAGGACUUGACUCGGUGGUUCCUGGAGAAGGUUGGUGGAGACCUGACCUCCUGUAGGCUGGACUGGGAGGUGCUUCUCUCUCUGCUGCAGCAUUCAACCCACAACAUCACAGUGGACCUCAGGAAGAACAGGCUUCUAGAGAAGAACAUCUCAGAUCUUUUCCCCUUUCUGGGAAGGGUUAUAUUCAAGAGGCUCAGUUCCAGCUUUGUGAAGUCCACCAUCAGACAGAUCUAUGACAGUAGAGCCAGUGACUGUGUGUCCAGUUUGUUGAGGUCUUCAGACCAUUGGAUCAACCUGAACAGCAGAGAGCUGGACAGAGUGGACUGUACUGCGCUGUGUUUCACCCUGCAGCACAGCCACCAAGUCAAAGUCAACCUGCUGUGGACCUCCAUACCACCGGGGGAGAUAGAGAGCAUCCUGCCUCUUCUGGACAGAGUCUCCCAACUCAGUGUUGACAGGAUGCUGUUGCUGAGUUUCCUCCACUCCUGCGCUGCCUCUCAGAUCCUGCAGGGGGCACUAUCACCACCUUCAGCAAUAACAACAGCAGCAGCAGAGCUGCUCAGGGCUCUGCAGCACAGGUUGGACUUCUCCUGCUCCUCCUCUGUGGACCUGUCGGCUCACGACCAGGGGGAGGCGCUGUGUCUGACCACUGACCACUGUAGGGCCAUAAACUCUGUUCUGAAGCAGAGCCAGCACAGCACACAGCUGGUUCAGAACCCGACCCAGAACCAGUCCCGAAACCAGCCCCAGGUGCAGCUCAUCCUUAAAGACUGUGAGGUGGAGCACGGAGCACUGAGAGAGCUGCUUCCCAUCCUGCAUAUUGUCAAGCUGAGCCCCAGCAAAGCUCUGCUACUUCAGCUGGUGGACCAUGUGUGUGAGGGGAUUGAAGAGGGAGUGCUGAGGAACGCAGUAUCCCUGUGCAGAGCCCUGGAUGGGGAGCUGGACCUCAGUGAGACCAGGCUGAACCAAAAGGCCUGUGGAUCUCUGGCCCUGGUUCUGGAACACUCAGAGGGGCUGUCAGAACUGGACCUCAGCCACUGCCAACUCACAGACCGCCAUCUACAGCCCCUGCUCACACACCUGCACAAAGUUGAAGUCCUUGACCUGAGUCACAAUGACAUCACUGAUGCUCUGACCGACAGAAUUCUCCAACUGGUCUCCACCAACACUUCAAUCCGCACCGUACGGCUCUUCAGCAACAGAAUCAAGGACAGAAGUCCGUUCCUGACAGACAAGAGGUUUGACAUCUGGUGA